GACGUAGGGCGCGAGCGUUGUCCGGAUUUAUUGGGCGUAAAGAGCUCGUAGGCGGCUUGUCGCGUCGUCCGUGAAAACCUGUGGCUCAACUGCAGGCUUGCGGUCGAUACAGGCAGGCUGGAGUUCGGUAGGGGAGACUGGAAUUCCUGGUGUAGCGGUGAAAUGCGCAGAUAUCAGGAGGAACACCGGUGGCGAAGGCGGGUCUCUGGGCCGAUACUGACGCUGAGGAGCGAAAGCGUGGGGAGCGAACAGG
Molecule: ribosomal RNA, 253 nt
Filed under: uncultured bacterium
Lineage: Bacteria
Description: partial 16S ribosomal RNA
Rfam family: Bacterial small subunit ribosomal RNA
Source: RNAcentral